This 1404-nucleotide ribosomal RNA is filed under the name uncultured bacterium. Its description in RNAcentral is "16S ribosomal RNA". It matches the Rfam family "Bacterial small subunit ribosomal RNA". The record is from RNAcentral.
AGAGUUUGAUCCUGGCUCAGGAUGAACGCUAGCGACAGGCUUAACACAUGCAAGUCGAGGGGCAGCGGUGGUGAAGGCUUGCCUUUACCAGCCGGCGACCGGCGCACGGGUGAGUAACACGUAUGCAACCUGCCUGCCACAGCCGGAUAAUCGGGAGAAAUUCCGUCUAAUACGGCAUAAUGCAUCGACGGGACAUCCUGUUGGUGCCAAAGGUUGAUUCCGGUGGCGGAUGGGCAUGCGUCGCAUUAGUUAGUUGGCGGUGUAACGGACCACCAAGACGACGAUGCGUAGGGGUUCUGAGAGGAAGGUCCCCCACACUGGUACUGAGACACGGACCAGACUCCUACGGGAGGCAGCAGUGAGGAAUAUUGGUCAAUGGGCGGGAGCCUGAACCAGCCAAGUCGCGUGAGGGAUGACGGCCCUAUGGGUUGUAAACCUCUUUUGCCGGGGAGCAAAGUGCCGCACGUGUGCGGUUUGGAGAGUACCCGGAGAAAAAGCAUCGGCUAACUCCGUGCCAGCAGCCGCGGUAAUACGGAGGAUGCGAGCGUCAUCCGGAUUUAUUGGGUUUAAAGGGUGCGUAGGCGGACGCUUAAGUCAGCGGUAAAAUUGCGGGGCUCAACCUCGUCGAGCCGUUGAAACUGGGUGCCUUGAGUGGGCGAGAAGUACGCGGAAUGCGUGGUGUAGCGGUGAAAUGCAUAGAUAUCACGCAGAACUCCGAUUGCGAAGGCAGCGUACCGGCGCCCAACUGACGCUGAAGCACGAAGGCGUGGGUAUCGAACAGGAUUAGAUACCCUGGUAGUCCACGCAGUAAACGAUGAAUGCUAGUUGUCCGGGGCGAUUGAGUUCUGGGUGACACAGCGAAAGCGUUAAGCAUUCCACCUGGGGAGUACGCCGGCAACGGUGAAACUCAAAGGAAUUGACGGGGGCCCGCACAAGCGGAGGAACAUGUGGUUUAAUUCGAUGAUACGCGAGGAACCUUACCCGGGCUCAAACGCAGGAGGGAUGUUUUUGAAAGGAGGCAGCCAGCAAUGGUCUCCUGCGAGGUGCUGCAUGGUUGUCGUCAGCUCGUGCCGUGAGGUGUCGGCUUAAGUGCCAUAACGAGCGCAACCCCUACCUACAGUUGCCAUCGCGUGAUGGCGGGCACUCUGUGGGGACUGCCUGCGCAAGCAGUGAGGAAGGCGGGGAUGACGUCAAAUCAGCACGGCCCUUACGUCCGGGGCGACACACGUGUUACAAUGGCAGGUACAGCGGGAAGCCACCCGGCGACGGGGCGCGGAACCCGAAAACCUGUCUCAGUUCGGAUUGGAGUCUGCAACCCGGCUGUAUGAAGCUGGAAUCGCUAGUAAUCGCAGAUCAGAAUGCUGCGGUGAAUACGUUCCCGGGUCUUGCACACACCGCCCGUCA